This 6646-nucleotide long non-coding RNA is filed under the name Sus scrofa (pig). Its description in RNAcentral is "lncRNA (ENSSSCG00050053292.1)". Lineage: Eukaryota; Metazoa; Chordata; Mammalia; Artiodactyla; Suidae. The record is from RNAcentral.
UCACAGAUCUUGGAAUAGAUCAUAUUCCCAUCAGUCAAUGUAGAGAGAGCUUCUAAUACCUGAGGCCUUGAGUAGCAUCUUCAGAAGAAUUGUGCUUUGCUAGUGGGGCAAAUUUAGCCCUUGAAUAAAAACUGCUAUAGACUUACCUUAAUAAAUCUUAAAAACAAGCUUCAAAAGGUUCAAAUCACUCUUCAAGUAACUUCUUACAUGCCAGAACAAAGCCCAAUACUUAAAGAAAUACAGUAAAAUUCCAGCAUUCAACAGUGUAAAAAUCACAAUGUCUAACAUCCAAUCAAAAAUUACCAGACAUGCAAAGAAACAGAAAAAAAUAUAAUCCAUAACCAGGCGGAAAUGUGAUCAAUAGAAACAUACCCAGAAACAACAGAGAUAAUGAAACUAACAGAGUUAUUAUGAACAUUACAAAUACAUUCUAGGAUAAAAAGAAAAGCACAAAUAUAGUGAUAGAAAUGGACAAGGUAAAAAAAAAUUCAAAACUAGAGGUUAAAAUACAAUACCCAAAAUGAAAAAUAGAAUGAAAUUAAGAGCAAAUUUGACACAGCAGAAUAUUCAUGAAUUUGAAAAUAGCAAUAGGAACUACACAAAGUAAAGUAUAAAGGAAAAAACUGAAAAAACAAAACAAUAUAAAAAGAACAGUUUCAGUGAGCUAUGUGGAAAUAUGAAACUGAGUAAUGUGUGCAAUAAGAGCCCAGUAAUGAGAGGAGAAAAAGGAAGAGUGUAAAAGUUAUUGGCCAAAAAUAAGGCUCAAGUUUUUCUGAAUGUCACAAAGACCAUAAACCAAAGGAGCUCAAAUAACCCCCAGCAAAAGAAACAAAAAUCUGCUCUAAGGCACAGAUAAUCAAAGUUCUGAAAACUAGUGAUAAAGAGGAAACUCUUAAGCGCAUUCAGAGAAAAAAGUAUUUUAUAUAGAGCAACAAAAAUAAGAAUGAUAGACAUUAAAAAAAAAAAAAACUGCAAACCAGGACAUAAUUGUUAUGUUUUAGAUUUGUUUUCUUGGCAGAGAGUUGGUGCUAGUUCACCACCAAUAAAAAUUUUGACGGGGACUAUCAGUACUCCACCAACCACCAGUGAUAGUUUCUUCAUUACAAACCAGCAAUUGGCCUGAUCCCAGAUCCAAAAUUCUAUUUUAGUCAGCUUCCUAGGACUAUUCUUAGUUUUGUCUCAGGUCAUAUACUCCAUCAUAUUGGGACAAAUGUUCAUGUGUAGGAGGUUACCAGAUAGAGGCCUCAGUUGAUCCAAUACACAGCUCUAGAGCAGGGAUGGCUCUUCAGAAUUAUCCCAAAUUGAGAGAAGAGGCUGGGCCUUUGUACCUUCUGUAAACCAGUCACUGAAUGUGGGUUGAUUAGGGAGGAAGUGUGACCUUGGAUGAGGCAAUUCCCUUCAGCCCAGGCACCAUCUAAAGAGUACAGCCAGUAUUCCCAAUAACAGGGGAAUGAAUGACCGCACUGAGUGUGGAUUGGUGGAGAACACCUCAUAGUCACUGCAAGGGAUGCCUUAACAUUAAAGCAAACUAAAAAAGUGUUUGUGUUACUAUGAGAGGUUAUGAGAACUAAUUUUGAGGGUUGUGUGGUUUUUUUUACUUUAUAUUUGUUUAUUUAAAAGUAAUGUCGAUUUACUAGAGAUGAUUUGGAAAUGAAAAAAGUUAAAUCACCUAUAAUCUUAACCACAUGAAACUCUGAAAUAUUGGAUUAUCCUGUCUCUAGAACUAUGUGUACUCAAAGGAAAGUAGCUCUAAACAGGAAUAGGAAGCUCUUAUGUUUAGAAGAGUUGUGAGUAUAUGAAAGAUACUUUGGCUUAGUGCAGACUUAAAUAAACUGAGACAUUUCAUCUAGGGGGAAAAAAAGAGAAAGUAGCUCUCUAUCUUCUAAAUCUUAUAUGAUUGGCUAGGAUUUAGAGAUGAGCAAUAAUUUAUCUUAAAAGUUCAUGAUGAAGCUGAAAAUAUAAGACCUGCAUUCUUGUUCAUUAUGUGCAGUGUCUCAGACUUUUGUAUUUGUGGGUUUUCAUCAGUUUUCUGCUUGGAAAACUCGGAAAUGCUACAGACUGCAUCUGUCAUUAGAUUUUAGCAAUUUCAAUCUGUCUCCUUAUACUUAAGUAACCAGAUUUGUAAGGCAACACUUUCAUGCUCAAGCAAAGAGUCCUCUUUUCUAACUUAAUAUUCAUGUGUCUCCUCCAUUCACAUUUACAUUCUACCUAUUGCUAAGCUGGAAGGCUAUUAAGCAUUGCUGUUAAGCACUCACUGCUCAUUAAACAGAAAAUUGAAUUUCAACAUCAAAUUAUAAAUUAGAAGGAAUUACACAAUUUAAAAAUCACUCAGAUGUUGGUGGAAGUUUAACUUUUGGAGUCGGUGUUAUAUAACUCCUAAAGUGACUCUUUGUGUAUUUAUUUUUUAAGAAAUCUAUUAAUGUUAGAUUUGGAUGACUUGUGGGCAGCAGUGCCAUCUGCAGGCCUCCUCUGAGGCAGCUCUUUUUAGUCUCUGGUGUUUGGCUCCACUGAAUAUUUAUGGCUUCAUAAUGUCAAAUACAAAGUGGUAUUAAUAUAGAUUUAAGAAGGGUGAAGUUACAGGUAUAGAUCCUCAUUUAAACCAUUGAGUUACUAUCAACUUCAUAUCCACAUUUAUAAUUCAGAUAUUAAACACAACAUGUUAACAUGAAGAAUAUAUAUGGAAUGAGCACGGAUAUUGGAAUCAUGCAGAACUGGGUUCUAAUUGCAUCCAUAUCACUUAGCAGCUGUGUGACAUUAAAAAAUUUACUUCUCUGAGAUGCAGUUUUUUAAUAUGAGUAGGGAUUAUACUUCCUUCAUGGCAUAUUUGAGAGCUCAAAAUAGAUAAAGUGUAUAAAAUGCCUAGUACAGAAUGUGCGUACAGUGUGCCCCUAAUUGAUAGUAGUUCCCUUUCCCUUAAAAUUAAAACCAAAAUAUCAAGACCAUUUAUUGCCUUUGUACCCAGUGAGUUUAAGAGUUAUAAAAUAUAUCAUUGCCUUUUUGGAGAAAGUGGGGUUUGAAGGAACUGUCUUCCUGGGAUAUUUAUUAUCCAUCCUGUCCUCUAUGUCUUUUCAUUUUUACCUCUUCAAAAAUUUAAAUGUAGAUGUUUAUGUUGGUGGCUGCAUAGAGUAUUUCUGCAAAGUAUUUACAAGAAAUUGAUAAAUACCAGUUGCUGAAUUUUGGGGCUAUGAAGGAGCCUUGUUGUUUUAAUGUGUAUAUCCUUGGAGCUGUUUUAAUUUCUGUCAUGUACAACAUUAGUUUUUCCGCAAUAAAGCACAAAUAUUUCCUUUUUUAGGAAAGGAAAAUAACUGAGAUUAUCCUUAUAUAAAAAAUGAGUAAUUCCUUCUCUUCACUCCACCCCCCAAAAUCUUUGCUUCUAAAUGAAAGCAAACAUCAGAUUUUGGAUAAACUUGCUCUGAAAUCAUAAUAUAUAUUUUCAAGAGAACCUGUAUACAGUUUUCUUCGGAAUUGAUAAGAAUUUAAUAAACUGCCUAAGAUUUGUCCUCUGAGGAAGCAGAAGCUGACAUUAUUCAACAGCUGGCUGCAAUUAUACAAUUGUGUUGUGCUAGUAUACAACAGCUGGCUACUAUAGUAGAAUGUGACUUCCAUGGUCACUCAUGGACAUGCCCAGAAUGACACACUAGUUGAAUCACAUGGUGUGUGUUUCCGGCUGAGGCUGAGCAAAGGAGAGGCUCCACCUUCCUGUUUCAGCUCUCAUGCUGUAAACAGGUAUCCUUUUGCAGUCUUUGUAGUGCCAUGUUUUUCUCACUUUCAUGCUUCCUGUAGGUGAUUUCACUGUUUAAAAUGAGUGCUGCAAUGCUGCCUUUUGUUCCUAAAUAUGAGAAGGUGGUGAUGUGCCUGUUGAGUAAAUACAUGUGUUAGCUCUCAGCCAUCUUGGAGAGACUAUUUACCUUUGGGAAAUGAUUUUAUUUUGCCACCAGAAAAACCAACCCCCUCCCCAAGUGCUUCUCUUCUAAUACAGUCUGGAUCUUGGGAACAGGAAACAUUAAGUAGUUUUUCUUCAUUCCAGAACAUCCUGGGCCAUAGCUACACAGCAGGGAUCAAAGCAGGCACACAUCAAAAGCACCCCAACUGAGAGGAGCAGCCCUGAAGCUUCAGUGCCUUAGGCUCUUGUUAUCAUCUCUGCCUGUGAGUCAUGUGUAUCUCAUCUUUCCCCGUCUGCUGUUCCUUCUCUAGGCUCAGCAAAGAAAGCUGCUCUUUACCAAACUUUCUUAACUCAAGAUAAAAACUCCUUCCAUUUUUCCCUCCUUCUUCCUCUUAUAAUUACUAUAGUUAAGUAAUUUCAGUGAUACUCACUCAUACAUCUGACAUUUCUUAAGCCCUUUUUGUAUGCCAGAUACUAUGCUGAGUGAUGAGGCUUUUUAAAAAAUGAAUGGUACAGUCCCUACUCUCAAGGAGCUGUUGACUAAUGGAGCAAGGCAACCAACACAUAAAUGAAUAGUUCUAAUAUAGUGUGAUCAAGUCCAUAGUAGAGGCAGGCAAAAGAUCUUUUGGAAGUAAAUGGGAAGGGCACCAUUUCUCAGUAAGAUGAUGCCUUGGAUGAGUGUUUUGCCAGGCAGAGGGUUCAGGGAUGUAGGGAUAGGGUAUGAGUGGGUGAGGGUAGUCUAGACAUACACCCUAGGGAGCAAAUCAUGCGUGAAAAAUAGCAGAUGUGUUCUUGAGGGCGGGGUAAUAGAAGCAGAUCAGGAUUGCUGAGCUAUGUAUUUGAGGCAGGGAGUUAAUGGAGAUACUGCUUUAAAGAACAUCAUAAAAUUUUAUCUAACAUGUAUUUAAGAACUUGAUCUUUUGAAGGUGAACCUUACUAAAAUGUAACUUCCUUAUGUUCGGUUGAAUAACAGCCCACCAAAUAAGCUCAUGUCCUAAUACCAAAAUUUGUGAUUAUAAUACCUUAUAUGAUAAAGUAAAAAUACUUUGCAGAUAUGAUUGAAAUAAGGAUCUUGGAAUUUAGAGGUUAUCCUGAAUUAUCUGUGUAGAUUCAAUAUAAUCACAAGAAUCCUUAUAAAAGAAAGAUGGGAAGAUCAGAGACAAGAGAGUGAUGUGCAGAUGGAAGCAGAAGACACAGAAGAGGCUGUGCCGCUGGCUUCAAGAUUCAGGAAGAAGCCACAAGCCAACAAAUAUACGUGGCUUCUAAAAGCUGGAAAAGGCAAGGAAACAGAUUCUCUCCUAGAGGCUUCAGGAGGAAAGUGACUCUGUGAAACCCAUUUAGACUUCUGACCUCCAGAAACAUAAGAAAAUAAGUUUGUAUUGUUUUAGUCAUUAAGAGUGUGGAAAUGAACAGCAGGAAAUCAAUAUACUCCUUGAAAGCAAAAGUUUUUGGUUUAUUGCUGCUCUAUCUUGAACAGUACCAGAAGACACCACCCCAAAAUAUGCCUCUUUAGCAUAUGCCUUAUUUUGAGAUAAAGGCUAGUAGAACCAGAACACCUAGGAAAACUCCAAUAUCAGGGCACAAGAUUCCUUUUGGUAAAGGAAUUUUACAUGUAUGAAGGAAAUUUCCAUUUGUCAAUCUGUCUUCCUUUCCAGUACCAGAAAGAGGAUGACUUUUAACAACUCAUUCAGAAGUGUGAAUGUAACAGAUCAAAAUGAUUUUUAAGACAAACAUUCUGGAGUCCCUGUCGUGGCGCAGUGGUUAACGAAUCCGACUAGGAACCAUGAGGUUGCGGGUUUGAUCCUUGCCCUUGCUCAGUGGGUUAACGAUCCAGCGUUGCCGUGAGCUGUGGUGUAGGUUGCAGAUGCGGCUCGGAUCCCGCGUUGCUGUGGCUCUGGCGUAUGCUGGCAGCUACAGCUCGGAUUAGACCCCUAGCCUGGGAACCUCCAUAUGCCACGGGAGCGGCCCAAGAAAUGGCAAAAAGACAGAAAAAAAAAAAAAUUCUAAGAAUAAUUGCCUCAACUGCACACAACCUGGGCAGAUAUGAUCAACUUAGCUAAAGAAUGAUCAUAAGGGAGUUCCCGUCUUGGCUCAGUGGUUAACGAACCCGACUAGCAUCCAUGAGGAUAGGAGUUCCAUCCCUGGCCUCACUUAGUGGGUUAAGGAUGUGGCGUUGCCAUGACCUAUGAUGUGGGUCACAGGCUCAGCUCAGAUUCCGCUUUCCUGUGGUUCUGGCAUAGGCCGGUGGCUACAGCUCCAGUUGGACCCCUAGCCUGGGAACCUAUGUAUGCCGUGAGUGCGGCCCUAAAAAGACAAAAGACAAAAAAAAAAAAAAAUGAUUAUGAGGGAUUUACAUUGAAAAAAAUUUCUGGAAAAUCUUAUUGAAUGUGAAUUUCUGCAUUUCUGAUUAAUGCCAGGAAAAAACACUAUUGCAGUUUCAUUGAAUAUCUCACAGCUCUGGUGAACAUUUUUGUGCCAUUAUCAGCGGUUGCAGGUUGCAGACUAACUGACAAAGCUUGCAUUGUAAGCUAUUAGAAUCUACUAAUCUGCUCUUUUUUUCCCCACUCGGCUUUUUUUUUUUUUUUUUUUUUUUCAUAUGCAAGGUAAGCAGAAUCUGGAAAUAAAUCAUUCAAGUCUGAUUUGGGCAUCUUCAGUGGAUUCUCUUCUGGUAUUUCACGUUUUCAUCGUUAUAUUGAUGUCUUAUCAAAUGCUUGACCAAAUUUUUAAUUAUAAAAUAUCAUUAAAGUCCUGUAACUUAUGCCC